GCGCUCACUUAGCACAUACACUAAAAUUGGAACGAUAUACAGAUCAGCAUGACCCCUGCACAAGGAUGACACACAAAUUCAUGAAGUAUUCCACAAUUAA
RNAcentral lists this small nuclear RNA (100 nucleotides) under Zalophus californianus (California sea lion). Lineage: Eukaryota; Metazoa; Chordata; Mammalia; Carnivora; Otariidae. The record is from RNAcentral.